RNAcentral lists this ribosomal RNA (431 nucleotides) under uncultured bacterium. RNAcentral's name for it is "bacterial SSU rRNA". It matches the Rfam family "Bacterial small subunit ribosomal RNA", at positions 354 to 777 of the family's 1533-position model. The record is from RNAcentral.
GUGGGGAAUAUUGCGCAAUGGGGGCAACCCUGACGCAGCCAUGCCGCGUGAAUGAAGAAGGCCUUCGGGUUGUAAAGUUCUUUCGGUAGCGAGGAAGGCACUUAGUUUAAUAAACUAGGUGAUUGACGUUAACUACAGAAGAAGCACCGGCUAACUCCGUGCCAGCAGCCGCGGUAAUACGGAGGGUGCGAGCGUUAAUCGGAAUAACUGGGCGUAAAGGGCACGCAGGCGGUGACUUAAGUGAGGUGUGAAAGCCCCGGGCUUAACCUGGGAAUUGCAUUUCAUACUGGGUCGCUAGAGUACUUUAGGGAGGGGUAGAAUUCCACGUGUAGCGGUGAAAUGCGUAGAGAUGUGGAGGAAUACCGAAGGCGAAGGCAGCCCCUUGGGAAUGUACUGACGCUCAUGUGCGAAAGCGUGGGGAGCAAACAGGA